UUAAGUUCAAAUACCGGAAAAGUGAAACCGCAAAGAGCUCCUUACAACAGCUAUUAUUGGCUUGAUCUUGAUAUUCUACGUGGAUAACUGUGGUAAUUCUAGAGCUAAUACAUGCACCAAAGCUCCGAUUCAUGAGGAGCGCACCUAUUAGACUAAAACCAACCGGGUUUCGGCUCGGUGUUUUGGGGACUCUGAAUAGCUAUAGUUGAUCGCAUGGUCUUGUACCGGCGGCGUGUCUAUCAAGUGUCUGCCUUAUCAACUUUCGAUGGUAGUUUAUGUGCCUACCAUGGUUGUUACGGGUAACGGAGAAUUAGGGUUCGACUCCGGAGAGGGAGCUUGAGAAAUGGCUACCACAUCCAAGGAAGGCAGCAGGCGCGCAAAUUACCCACUCUCGGUAUGAGGAGGUAGUGACGAGAAAUAACGAGACCGUUCUCAUUGAGGCCGGUUAUCGGAAUGAGUGGAUCUAAAUGUCCUGACGAGGAUCUAUGAGAGGGCAAGUCUGGUGCCAGCAGCCGCGGUAAUUCCAGCUCUCAUAGUGUAUAUCGUUGCUGCUGCGGUUAAAAAGCUCGUAGUUGGAUCUGCGCUUGAGAACUUGGUCCACCAUUUUGGUGCUGAACUAAGUACAUCUCAGUGUUUACCGUUUAGCUGGUUCUCCUAGCGUUGCCUUUACCGGUCGCGUUAGGUGGCUAGCAAGUUUACUUUGAAAAAAUUAGAGUGCUUAAAGCGGGCUAUCGAUGCUUGAAUAGUGGUGCAUGGGAUAAUAGAAUACGAUUACGGGUCUAUUUUGUUGGUUUUCUGAUCUGUGAUAAUGGUUAAGAGGGACAAACGGGGGCAUUCGUAUCGCUGCGCGAGAGGUGAAAUUCGUGGACCGUAGCGAGACGCCCUACUGCGAAAGCAUUUGCCAAGAAUGUUUUCAUUAAUCAAGAACGAAAGUCAGAGGUUCGAAGGCGAUCAGAUACCGCCCUAGUUCUGACCGUAAACGAUACCAACUAGUCGAUCCGCUGAUGGCAAUUACUCGCCUUAGCUGGUAGCUCUCCGGAAACGAAAGUUUUUCGGUUCCGGGGGAAGUAUGGUUGCAAAGCUGAAACUUAAAGAAAUUGACGGAAGGGCACCACCAGGAGUGGAGCCUGCGGCUUAAUUUGACUCAACACGGGAAAACUCACCUGGCCCGGACACCGUAAGGAUUGACAGACUGAUAGCUCUUUCUUGAUUUGGUGGUUGGUGGUGCAUGGCCGUUCUUAGUUGGUGGAGUGAUUUGUCUGGUUUAUUCCGAUAACGAGCGAGACUCAAACCUGCUAAAUAGUUAUCAGAUAUAUUGGGUGUCAGUGUUUGCGCGGUUGUAUUGGCUUAACCGUCAGUGCAGCUGUGACAAGCAUUAGCGCUUGUGUCUGAUAUUUACUUCUUAGAGGGACAAGCGGUUUUCAGCCGCAUGAAGUUGAGCAAUAACAGGUCUGUGAUGCCCUUAGAUGUUCAGGGCUGCACGCGUGCUACACUGCGAGGAAUCAGCGUGCAGUAGCCAUUCUUGAAAGGGACUGGUAACCCCCUGAAAAUCCUCCGUGAUUGGGAUCGGGAAUUGCAAUUAUUUCCCUUGAACGAGGAAUUCCUAGUAAGUGUGAGUCAUCAGCCCGCGUUGAUUACGUCCCUGCCCUUUGUACACACCGCCCGUCGCUGCCCGGGACUGAGCCGUUUCGAGAAAAGCGGGGACUGCUUUUCGAU
RNAcentral lists this ribosomal RNA (1716 nucleotides) under Enterobius vermicularis (human pinworm). RNAcentral describes it as "SSU rRNA". It matches the Rfam family "Eukaryotic small subunit ribosomal RNA". Lineage: Eukaryota; Metazoa; Nematoda; Chromadorea; Rhabditida; Oxyuridae. The record is from RNAcentral.